RNA transcript from Raphanus sativus (radish), 1778 nucleotides. It is a transcript of the gene named serine/arginine-rich-splicing factor SR34, with no coding region annotated. The transcript has 14 exons. The record is from RefSeq and is a predicted model, not a curated record. NCBI's taxonomy places the organism in Eukaryota, Viridiplantae, Streptophyta, Magnoliopsida, Brassicales, Brassicaceae.
GGACAAACUUGUAAAGAUAAAAAGAAGAACACGUGAGGCACGUGAUACUCUCAACAUAAUAUCAUCUCGACCAAUUCGAAAGCCCUAGAGCCAGAAGAGUUCUCUCCACUUUCCGAAGCUUUCUCCCCCACCAACCCAGAUCUCAAUUCUCGUUCAGGAUAAGAUGAGCAGCCGUUCGAGUAGAACCAUAUACGUCGGGAACCUUCCCGGCGAUAUCCGCGAGAGAGAAGUCGAAGAUUUGUUCAGUAAGUAUGGACCUGUUGUUCAAAUCGAUCUGAAGAUCCCACCAAGACCUCCUGGCUAUGCCUUCGUCGAGUUUGAGGAUCCUCGAGAUGCUGAAGAUGCAAUUCAUGGUCGUGAUGGAUAUGACUUUGAUGGCCAUUCCUUACGGGUGGAGCUAGCACAUGGUGGGAGGCGCUCGUCUAAUGAUGCUCGUAGUAGUUACGGUGGUGGUAGCCGUGGUGGCGGCGGUGGUCGUGAUGGUGGUGACCGUGGACGUGGCCCAUCUAGGAGAUCCGAGUACCGAGUUAUUGUGUCAGGUUUGCCUUCAUCUGCUUCUUGGCAAGACCUCAAGGAUCACAUGCGUAAAGGAGGAGAAGUCUGUUUCUCUCAAGUGUUCCGUGAUGGUAGAGGUACAACGGGAAUCGUAGACUAUACCAGCUACGAAGACAUGAAGUAUGCGAUAAAAAAGCUCGAUGACACAGAGUUUAGGAAUGCGUUUUCCCGUGGUUAUGUCCGGGUUAGAGAAUAUGACUCAAGGAGGGACUCGAGAAGCCCUAGCCGUGGAAGAUCUUAUUCUAAAAGCCGCAGUCGUAGCCGUAGUCGCAGCCGUGGGAGGAGCCACAGCCGCAGUCUUAGCCGCAGCAGGAGCAGGAGCAGGAGCCCAAAGGCUAAAUCUUCGCGUAGGUCGCCUGCAAAAUCAACAUCGAGAUCUCCUCGCUCCCGCUCUAAGUCAAGGACACCACCUCCAAGAGGAUAUGGAUAUACGUACAAUCAACUUAAAAUUGGGGAUUAAUAUCUGGAUCAUGGAUUACUUACUUGGUUGGUUGUACACAAGUGUUUCGUCUCAGAGAUGGAUAACAGUGGAGAGACAUUGGAUCGCAUUGUUAUAGUGUCAUCGAUAUGGAUCCAUCGAUGAGCUAGGAAAAGAUACUUUCAUUACCUGCAAAUUUCGUCAAGCGUUCUGGAUUCUUCAUGGAACAGAUGCUGUGCUUAGGAUACAGGGUUUGAUAGAUUUGGACACUUGAUCUCUGCCCUCUGUUUUAACUUAGAAAAGCCUGUGUGUCUUAGUUUACCUUCUCUGCUAGAAAUCGUCUAAACUUUGUGUUCUUUUUACUUUCUUGUGAUAUGGAAUGAGGCAUCAAGGCACUUGGUGAAACAGCUGUUAUACACGGAAAACAUAUUAGGAUUUUAAAACUGGAUUUUGUUUCUCGGAAUUUUGCAGAUCUCGUUCAAGGUCAAGAUCCCCUCUGCCUCCUGUUCAGAAGGAAGCAAGCAAGAGCCCUAGCAAGGUGAGUCCAGCCAAGAGCCCUAUGCGUAGCAGGAGCAAGAGCAGAAGCAGGAGUCCAUCUCGGUAAACAAAAAGAUAAGCGAGCUGGGUUUGGUUGGAAGAUUCUCCUAAGGAUCAUAUCUACAUUAUAUGUUGUCGUUUGGCUAAGACUUAAGUACCUAUAUUACUCUUGUUUUUUAUUUAAUUUUUAAAUGUAACAAUUUGUGUUUAAGAUUCUCUUAAAAGAUCUUUACUUUUAUAUUUGAUAUUUUGAUAUAUUUUGCAGCAA